Juglans microcarpa x Juglans regia is the source of this 892-nucleotide long non-coding RNA. RefSeq lists it as uncharacterized. Lineage: Eukaryota; Viridiplantae; Streptophyta; Magnoliopsida; Fagales; Juglandaceae. The transcript has 2 exons. The record is from RefSeq and is a predicted model, not a curated record.
UAAGAAAUUAAAAUGCCAGAUAAACAUUAGUUUGGCAUAGGACCCAUCAUUGUUUGUAUCUACUCGUUAAUGAUUAACAUGCUUGGAUGCUAAAACAUUAUGCUCCCAGUAUAUAUUUAUAUUUUUUUUUCAAAACGUUAUACCGCUUCUCUUUAAUGCUAGUUUCAUGUUGUUUCUUCUAUAUGAAUUUAUGAAUUUGGGAUAUUAUUCAUGUUUGCCAAAAUAUUUUCUGAACUUCCUUAAUUUUUUAAAAUCACAUAUGAUAUCAACUCAAUCAUCAUCAUGUGUAAUUAAUGGGGUUGUAAUGGAAUUACCAACUUGUUGGUGUGAUUUGAAAGCACCACUAAAGACGUCACACACUAACAAAAAUUCCGCAAGGAAAUUUUUUUCCUACACGAAUUAUAACACAGUAAAGCAACUGCUAUAUAUUUUUUUAAUUGCUUUUCAAUUUUUGUAUAACGUGGUAAAGCUACUUCCUCAUGUGAAAUGCUUGUACUGUGUGCAGGAAGAUGCAAGAUUUGAAUUUUUCCAUUGGGCGGAUAUACUUAAUUUGAUAGAGGAGAACAUUCAGAGAAGAGAGAAUACAGUUCAGAAGAGGCAGGAUGACGGUCGAGAAUAUAAAUGCACGAAUAUUAUUGUGUUUGUACUGGGUUAUAUAAAUUGUAAUAGUUUCUGCAUAAUUCAGAUAAACUAUAGGACACAUGUAAAUAGGUGGAUAUUUUCUUUAUUUUUUUUUUGUAUGGAUCAAGUGUAAUGGUACUAUCCCUUGAAUUAGGCAAAGCAAAGCCUAAUUAGGUACUUGAUCAGGCAUUUUGUUGUAUAGGGGAGAGAAAAAUCUGCUAUUUUUUUUACUCUUUUAUGAAUCUACUGGGCUAUAUACAUUUUGACUCCA